Molecule: non-coding RNA, 569 nt
Organism: Apodemus sylvaticus (European woodmouse)
Lineage: Eukaryota; Metazoa; Chordata; Mammalia; Rodentia; Muridae
Source: the annotation of a RefSeq genome assembly
AGUCAUGAACAUUGUCGAGAUGGCUCUAAGGAUGGACUCUUCUCCAGGCCUCCUGACUGUGAUGCUACUCACACUCACAAGGGCCCAAGGAGACUCAGUGACUCAGACCAAAGGUCAAGUGGCCCUCUCAGAAAAGGACUUUCUUAUUAUACACUGCAACUAUUCAGCCUCAGGGUACCCAGCUCUGUUCUGGUAUGUGCAGUAUCCCGGAGAAGGUCCACAGCCUCUCUUCAGAGUCUCAAGGGACAAGGAGAAAGGAAGCAGCAGAGGGUUUGAAGCUACCUAUGAUAAAGGGACCACCUCCUUCCACUUGCGGAAAGCCUCGGUGCAGGAGUCAGACACGGCUGUGUACUACUGUGCUCUGGCUGACACAGUGACAGAAACCACAGGGGGAGCUGCACACAAACUCUGAGAAGCACGGGGCUGGCUUCUGACUUCUGGGAUUGCUUUGCUUCCUCUCUGUGCUGUGCGACUCUCCGUUUCUCUCACUGGGACGAAAGUCACCUAAAUAGCCACAGCAGAAAGAACAAGAAAUAGACUCUUCCACACUCAUCUUGACUGGGACUAAU